CAAAUCUUUCUAUUUUCCUUCAUCGUCGAGAGGGAAAUAGCCCGGAUCACCAACUAAGGCCCCUAAAUGACCGCUCAGUGAUAAAGGA
Cucurbita maxima (winter squash) is the source of this 88-nucleotide long non-coding RNA. RefSeq lists it as uncharacterized. The transcript has 3 exons. The record is from RefSeq and is a predicted model, not a curated record. Lineage: Eukaryota; Viridiplantae; Streptophyta; Magnoliopsida; Cucurbitales; Cucurbitaceae.